GCUGGGUGUGGUGGUGCCUGCCUGUAAUCCCACAGCUUUGGAGGCUGAGGCAGGAGGAUCGUGAGUUCAAAGCCAGCCUCAGCAACAGUGAGGUGCUAAGCAACUCAGUGAGACCCUGUCUCUA
Molecule: small RNA, 124 nt
Filed under: Marmota monax (woodchuck)
Lineage: Eukaryota; Metazoa; Chordata; Mammalia; Rodentia; Sciuridae
Source: RNAcentral